This 771-nucleotide long non-coding RNA is filed under the name Hordeum vulgare. Its description in RNAcentral is "long non-coding RNA (HVUL_LNC011510)". The record is from RNAcentral. Lineage: Eukaryota; Viridiplantae; Streptophyta; Magnoliopsida; Poales; Poaceae.
UCUUAUACCAUAUAUAUGAUUAUAAAUGUACUGAAGUAGAACUAUUUAGUUAGAUGUUCUUAUGACUCUCAGUCUGAGGAGGAUAUCAUCUUUAGUGACAAAAAUCUCUCUGCUUCUCUAGAGGCCAAGUAGGAAGCUGACAGAGCUAGCACCAACUGCAUUCAUGUUUUGCUUUCUUCUUUUUUGUCAAACACUGUGCUAGGACACAUUAUCCGGAUAAUUUAACAAUGUAAACACUGGAGAUAGAAUCACAUGCAAACACUCCAGAAGAUAUAUAUAAUCGCAUCACAACACAGCUAUAUCUCUAUAUCUGCAUCUGUAGCUGCUCAUCAGGAUGAACCCAAAAGGGCCGAGAACUCCAUCGCAAUGUUCGACGCAUGUGUGACGCACACAUAAGAUAGUAAUGUAGGUCCGGCUGAUCAUUGUGCAGGUAUCUCCUUCAGAUCCUGCAGCAAAAAAAUAAGAACAUCAUUUUGCACAGCAGCAUCAGAAAAAUAAUAGAGUACGGAGAAACUGUUAUAUAUUCUUUGGAUAGUUAUUCCGGGCAAGGCUUACCAGGAAGCAACAGGAGUGCCAUGAGCAAGAGCAAGCACAAGUCUGGCAUCUUGACCUUGAGAGCCUCCAUGUAUUAAAAGAGAGGAGAGACGGUGCAGAUCCAAAUAGGUUAGAGCCUUCUCUUCUUAUAGCCAUGGAUGAGCAGACUGUAUUAAAAGAAAAGAAAAACUAUGUAGAAAAAAAAGUAAGCAUGAUGCAAUUAUAUCUAGAAAAUGC